This 498-nucleotide ribosomal RNA is filed under the name uncultured bacterium. Its description in RNAcentral is "partial 16S ribosomal RNA". It matches the Rfam family "Bacterial small subunit ribosomal RNA", at positions 28 to 507 of the family's 1533-position model. The record is from RNAcentral.
GACGAACGCUGGCGGCGUGCCUAAUUCAUGCAAGUCGAGCGGACGAAUCGAAAGCUUGCUUUUGAUUCGUUAGCGGCGGACGGGUGAGUAACACGUGGGCAACCUGCCCUGUAGACGGGGAUAACACCGAGAAAUCGGUGCUAAUACCGGAUAACACGAAAUGUCGCAUGACGUUUCGUUGAAAGACGGCGCAAGCUGUCGCUACAGGAUGGGCCCGCGGCGCAUUAGCUAGUUGGUGAGGUAACGGCUCACCAAGGCGACGAUGCGUAGCCGACCUGAGAGGGUGAUCGGCCACACUGGGACUGAGACACGGCCCAGACUCCUACGGGAGGCAGCAGUAGGGAAUCUUCCGCAAUGGACGAAAGUCUGACGGAGCAACGCCGCGUGAGCGAAGAAGGCCUUCGGGUCGUAAAGCUCUGUUGUUAGGGAAGAACAAGUAACGCAGUAACUGGCGUUACCGUGACGGUACCUAACGAGAAAGCCACGGCUAACUACGUG